RNAcentral lists this unclassified non-coding RNA (310 nucleotides) under uncultured Mycena. Its description in RNAcentral is "sequence contains ITS2". The stretch from base 1 to 52 matches the Rfam family "5.8S ribosomal RNA", at positions 103 to 154 of the family's 154-position model. Lineage: Eukaryota; Fungi; Basidiomycota; Agaricomycetes; Agaricales; Tricholomataceae. The record is from RNAcentral.
AACGCACCUUGCGCCCUUUGGUAUUCCGAAGGGCAUGCCUGUUUGAGUGUCAUUAAAUUAUCAACCUUGCUCGCUUUUACCGGCUUGAGUUAGGCUUGGAUGUGAGGGUCUUUGCUGGCUUCCUUCAGUGGAUGGUCUGCUCCCUUUAAAUGCAUUAGUGGGAUCUCUUGUGGACCGUCACUUGGUGUGAUAAUUAUCUAUGCCAUCUUGACUUUGAAGCAAACUAAUGGGAACCUGCUCAUAACCGUCCUUUCAGGACAACUCUUGACAUUUUGACCUCAAAUCAGGUAGGACUACCCGCUGAACUUAA